CAGGCUUCUGUUGGAUCUCUUAAUGACUACAUGACUGCAAUUUCGUUCUAAAAAAAAAAGCAAGAGAGACUUUGGAGAAUCGGAUUUGCCCUGUAAUGCGAACUAUAGACAAAAUGGACCUCGAUCGUUUGGGAAGUUCCUCCUCAGCAGCAUUUUAUUCAUCCAGGAGCAGGCAGAGAUUUACCUGGGGAGCGGACGAGGUUCCCCUCCGGCAAUAAGAAGGGGGUUGCACCUCUCGGACUAAGUGCCUUGCAGAGAAGUUUAUUACAGAGUAUGAAAAUCAGGAAGCUUUUUGUUCACUUCAUACAUCUCUUCCUACAAAGCCAGACAUCAGACCCGAGCUCGGAUUCCGGAGUGAUUAUUGUUACACAUGAUCUAUGGAGCAGAUAAAUUACGGCUUGAUUUUUAUAAGAAAUCUGUGAAACGGUGCAGAAAAAUCUACAACUGGCUUCUCCCACUUCGCUGCGGAGCCGGUUUCUCUUUUCCCCACUUCGUCUCCGUUCCUGGAGGGGGUAGAUAUGAAAACCAGGGAGGCGAGAACGGAGCGGCAGAGUCACGAGCACAGUUUCAUGCAGGGGGAGACCAUUUCGGUCUCCUGCUUUGCCUAAGUUUGGCAGUGGCCUACAGAAGGCAGAAAGGAAAGCAAGGGGAAGAUUAAAGCCAUUCUAAAUGGAAGUGGAGUGUGUAACUGGAUGCAAGAUUUCUGCACAGGCGGCAUGUGUCAGCAGCCGUUACACCAGUGACUUUAGGUGAGCCUUCGAUCGAGCCUGUUAAAUAGUUCAGUGAGGUAGGUGCGACCAGGA
This 803-nucleotide long non-coding RNA is filed under the name Apteryx owenii (little spotted kiwi). RNAcentral's name for it is "lncRNA (ENSAOWG00000000726.1)". The record is from RNAcentral. Lineage: Eukaryota; Metazoa; Chordata; Aves; Apterygiformes; Apterygidae.